RNAcentral lists this long non-coding RNA (360 nucleotides) under Mytilus galloprovincialis (Mediterranean mussel). Lineage: Eukaryota; Metazoa; Mollusca; Bivalvia; Mytilida; Mytilidae. The record is from RNAcentral.
CCCUCCCCCUUUUUUACAAAAUACUCAAAAACUCAAAAAUAAAAUUUUGAAUCAUCACCAAAAAGUAUACAGAUAUUAAGAUUAAUAUAACUAAGAAGUGUUUAAAGUUUUAAGCCAUAAUCAAGAAUCGUUUUUGAGAUACGUUGCGACAUGUGUAAAAAACACACCCCUGUUUUAGUUACAAAGUGCCGUUACUCAAAAAGUUUUAAUCUUAUUUUCACCAAAAAGUAUACAGAUCAUUUGACCAUCAUAAGAAACAACUAUGUUAAGUUUCAUGAAAUUUGGAUAAGUCGUUCUCAAGUUACGGUGCGACAUGUUUACGCCGGACAGACGGACGGACGGACACCGGACAUUUGUAUA